Molecule: long non-coding RNA, 1326 nt
Organism: Papaver somniferum (opium poppy)
Lineage: Eukaryota; Viridiplantae; Streptophyta; Magnoliopsida; Ranunculales; Papaveraceae
Exons: 7
Source: RefSeq, a predicted model, not a curated record
CAAGGGAGAAUUAAAAAAAUACGGGAUAAAAAGGAAAAAUCGAAAACCUGCCGGAGAAAAAACUUAGAAAAAACCCUAAACGCGUAUGCCUCUCCACCACCUACACAUUUCUGUUCAAGUUUUAAGUGUUAUUUUUGAUUCUCUCCAUCAACCGCGUUUUAGUUUGUGCUUUUGGAGGCAAAGCAGAAUCGGGAAGAAGAAGAUGAUGAAGAAGAAUAAAAGAAGAAGUGUAUCUCAGAUCAAUACCGUCGUAUCUCUAAAUAGAGGUGAUUUGUGGGCAAUGAUUAAUCCUGCAAAUUGCAAUAUUGAACCUCAAUUCGCUACUGUCAAGUGAUGGCUUUGUUGUCCUUCAGUUUGGUCUUUGCAGCUAUAGUAAUCCCCUGUCCAGCUGUCCAGGGAAAACGCCACUUCAUUUAGCAGCUCAAGGUGGUUCUUUGGAAUGUGUUCAAGAAUGUCUUGCAUGAGGAGCAGAUUGAAUUAAAAAAAUGCAUCUGCAAAAAUUCGAUGCUUUGGUCCUGCUACCACCUGUUGCUCCAGAUGCGCAAGCCUGUUAGAUACUGGAGUGUUCCAUAUGUUAUAGCGUUGAAUUAUAAGUGCGGGGCAUGUAGAAGAGUCCAGGGAGAACUAUGACAAGCUAAAAUGCAUAUUCAAGCAGAUGUGUUAGUGCUAGGCAUUUUUCAUUGCUCAUGUCCCCUGUAGCCUUCCAUUUACAAACUAUAUCCAUGGAGGCUAAAAUCAAGUGAUCAAGUGAGAAAUAAGAGAGAAUCGAAGGUAGAGGAAGUUGUGCAUGCUGUCAGUACCUGGACCAGCAGAAGCUCCACGAAUGAUCCUAAACCAAAGGCGAAGUCUAAUUACCUAGGAACUAUGAAGAGAUUCUGCUGUUAAAGUCUUAGUAGCUCCCAACAGUACAAAACAGUGGAUGCUGAAACUAUAUUUAUACUCCAGAUAUUUGGUACGGAAAUGUUAUUCACCUCCCUAUUCUUCACCUCCCUCUAAUCUAAGCCCUACAUCUCUAUCGAGAUCCGCAUUCAGGUUCAGGUGGGGUUCACCAUUCCCUUAAUAUGGGGUGUAGAUUGUAGGGAGAUGAAUAGGGAGGUGGAUAACAGGGAGUUGAAUAGCAUUGCCGUAUUUGGUAGCUUAAAUUUAAUAAAAGUGCCAAGUUUUAUAGUUUGCAAAUAAGUAGAGUUUCCGGUUGCAUGUUAAUUUGAAUUUCCAAAGCCCAUUUAGCUAGAGCUUAUGUAAUAAGUUUGUUGAAAUAAUAAGUCUUGCAUGUUGUACUGUUGCAAGUCUUCAGAUGCUAAUGGGUAGUAUUUUGAUUUUAAUUAA